CUGAUGGCGACCGGCGCACGGGUGCGUAACGCGUAUGCAACCUACCCAUUACAGGGGGAUAACACUGAGAAAUCGGUACUAAUACCCCAUAACAUCCAGGGAGGCAUCUUCUUGGGUUGAAAACUCCGGUAGUAAUGGAUGGGCAUGCGUUGUAUUAGUUAGUUGGUGGGGUAACGGCUCACCAAGACAACGAUACAUAGGGGGACUGAGAGGUUAACCCCCCACAUUGGUACUGAGACACAGACCAAACUCCUACGGGAGGCAGCAG
Molecule: ribosomal RNA, 268 nt
Filed under: uncultured bacterium
Lineage: Bacteria
Description: partial 16S ribosomal RNA
Rfam family: Bacterial small subunit ribosomal RNA
Source: RNAcentral